AAAAAAAAACAAAAGAAAUUUCAAUUGAAAACAAUUAAAAAAAAAGGACUUGUGUUGGAUUGGCACUACAAAUAUAAUCCAAACCAAAUAAAAUCGAUAGAAAAAAGUAUAGAUGAGAGAAUAAAUAAAGAAUAAGUGGAAAACAAAACUACAAUUUACUUAGAUUUAUUGAAUCCAUAAUGGAUUCAAUCAAGUUAAGUGAUAAAAGAAAACUUGAUUU
This 220-nucleotide long non-coding RNA is filed under the name Capsicum annuum. RNAcentral's name for it is "long non-coding RNA (CANN_LNC020678)". The record is from RNAcentral. Lineage: Eukaryota; Viridiplantae; Streptophyta; Magnoliopsida; Solanales; Solanaceae.